This 322-nucleotide long non-coding RNA is filed under the name Salmo salar (Atlantic salmon). RNAcentral's name for it is "lncRNA (ENSSSAG00000103727.1, ENSSSAG00075028287.1)". Lineage: Eukaryota; Metazoa; Chordata; Actinopteri; Salmoniformes; Salmonidae. The record is from RNAcentral.
AGCAAACUCUCCUCUUGGGCAGGAAGACAUAAACAGGCUGUAAAAUGGAAAACUACAUCUGUGUUCGUUUCUCUACCUUGAAAGACGGCCACAUUUGGCUGGGACGGCAUGACAUCACUCACUAUAGAUGUUAUACCCUGCGUUCCUCUUCAGCAGUGCAGUAAAUGACUAAAAUGCACAGGUCUUAAUAUCGCUAGCCCCGCUGCUUCCUUCCAAGCCACCCAAGUCCCAGGGCAGAGAUCCAUGUUGACAGUCCGUGAGACCCAUCACAUCACUGUCACAGCCCCGGGCCAGUCAGAACAGUGAUGGAGUGACUCCAGAG